RNAcentral lists this ribosomal RNA (406 nucleotides) under uncultured bacterium. RNAcentral's name for it is "partial 16S ribosomal RNA". It matches the Rfam family "Bacterial small subunit ribosomal RNA", at positions 30 to 526 of the family's 1533-position model. The record is from RNAcentral.
AUUGAACGCUGGCGGCAGGCCUAACACAUGCAAGUCGAACGAGUGGCGGACGGGUGCGUAAUGUCUGGGAACCUGCCCGAUGGAGGGGGAUCACUACUGGAAACGGUAGCUAAUACCGCAUACCAUCGGAUGUGCCCAGAUGGGUUUGGCUUGUAGGUGGGGUAACGGCUCACCUAGGCGACGAUCCCUAGCUGGUCUGCGGGGAUGACCAGCCACACUGGAACUGAGACACGGUCCAGACGCCUACGGGAGGCAGCAGUGGGGAAUAUUGCACAAUGGGCGCAAGCCUGAUGCAGCCAUGCCGCGUGUAUGAAGAAGGCCUGCGGGUUGUAAAGUACUUUCAGCGGGGAGGCGUUACCCGCAGAAGAAGCACCGGCUAACUCCGUGCCAGCAGCCGCGGUAAUAC